RNAcentral lists this long non-coding RNA (1371 nucleotides) under Oncorhynchus mykiss (rainbow trout). Its description in RNAcentral is "lncRNA (ENSOMYG00000072381.1)". The record is from RNAcentral. Lineage: Eukaryota; Metazoa; Chordata; Actinopteri; Salmoniformes; Salmonidae.
AUUGUGUUAUUGCUGUGGUUUUGUGGGAGUUGCCACACUGAGAAAGUCUUGGGUCAAUGGUAUCUGCUUGCCUGGUCCUCUACUCAAGAUCUUGCAUGUCCAGACAGUCUAAAACAGGGCUCUGUCACGACUUCCGCCGAAGUUGGCUCCCCUGCCUGUUUCGGGCGGUGCUCGUCGGUGGUCGUCACCGGCCUACUAGAAGUUGGCUCCCCUGCCUGUUUCGGGCGGUGCUCGUCGGUGGUCGUCACCAGCCUACUAGAAGUUGGCUCCCCUGCCUGUUUCGGGCGGUGCUCGUCGGUCGUCGUCACCGGCCUACUAGAAGUUGGCUCCCCUGCCUGUUUCGGGCGGUGCUCGUCGGUGGUCGUCACCGGCCUACUAGCCACCCCCGAUCCCUUUUUCGUUUUCUGUUUGUUUUGUCUUAUUAGUUGCACCUGUGUCUAUUUGUGUGUGCUUGAUGGGCUUCCUUAUUUAAAGUGCGUAUACCCGCCCUUGUUUUGUGCGGGAUUACUCUUGUGUUAUUUAGGUGUGUUCGUGUUCUGGACCUGGUACCCUGUGUUGUGUGUUGGUACCCUGUGUUGUGGGUUGGUACCCUGUGUUGUGGGUUGGUACCCUGUGUUGUGGGUUGGUACCCUGUGUUGUGGGUUGGUCCCUGUGUUGUGGGUUGGUCCCUGUGUUGUGGGUUGGUACCCUGUGUUGUGGGUUGGUACCCUGUGUUGUGGGUUGGUACCCUGUGUUGUGGGUUGGUCCCUGUGUUGUGGGUUGGUCCCUGUGUUGUGGGUUGGUCCCUGUGUUGUGGGUUGGUACCCUGUGUUGUGGGUUGGUCCCUGUGUUGUGGGUUGGUCCCUGUGUUGUGGGUUGGUCCCUGUGUUGUGGGUUGGUCCCUGUGUUGUGGGUUGGUCCCUGUGUUGUGGGUUGGUCCCUGUGUUGUGGGUUGGUCCCUGUGUUGUGGGUUGGUCCCUGUGCUGUGGGUUGGUCCCUGUGUUGUGGGUUGGUACCCUGUGUUAUGGGUUGGUCCCUGUGUUGUGGGUUGGUUCCUGUGUUGUGGGUUGGUACCCUGUGUUGUGGGUUGGUCCCUGUGUUGUGGGUUGGUCCCUGUGUUGUGGGUUGGUCCCUGUGUUGUGGGUUGGUACCCUGUGUUGUGGGUUGGUACCCUGUGUUGUGGGUUGGUACCCUGUGUUGUGGGUUGGUCCCUGUGUUGUGGGUUGGUCCCUGUGUUGUGGGUUGGUCCCUGUGUUGUGGGUUGGUCCCUGUGUUGUGAGCAUUGCUCUUUGUGCCAUAGUAAAGUGCACCUCUUCCUGUGGAACUCUCUGCUCUCAGCGCCUGAUUCUUCCUCACACACCUAGUCCCGCCUGGAGAGUCAUCCUCCUGUAG